UCUUACACACCACCUGGGAAUCCAACCUUACUACCACCUCGUCCUCCUGCCUCGUGUCAUUAAACUUCCAUUCCAAAUACUCUGUCUUGCUCCUACUCAACCUAAACCCUUUAGACUCGAGGGUCUGUCUCUACACCUCCAGUUUAUCAUUCACACCCCCUCUCGUCUCAUCAAUCAAAACUACAUCAUCUGCAAAAAGCAUACACCAAGGCACCUCUCCUUGAAU
RNAcentral lists this long non-coding RNA (226 nucleotides) under Capsicum annuum. RNAcentral describes it as "long non-coding RNA (CANN_LNC021748)". The record is from RNAcentral. Lineage: Eukaryota; Viridiplantae; Streptophyta; Magnoliopsida; Solanales; Solanaceae.